Molecule: ribosomal RNA, 253 nt
Filed under: uncultured bacterium
Lineage: Bacteria
Description: partial 16S ribosomal RNA
Rfam family: Bacterial small subunit ribosomal RNA
Source: RNAcentral
UACGGAGGGUGCGAGCGUUGUCCGGAAUCACUGGGCGUAAAGGGCUCGUAGGCGGUUCGUCACGUCGGGAGUGAAAACUCGGGGCUUAACCCCGAGCCUGCUUCCGAUACGGGCAGACUAGAGGUAGGCAGGGGAGAGCGGAACUCCUGGUGUAGCGGUGGAAUGCGCAGAUAUCAGGAAGAACACCGGUGGCGAAGGCGGCUCUCUGGGCCUUACCUGACGCUGAGGAGCGAAAGCGUGGGUAGCGAACAGG